Molecule: ribosomal RNA, 478 nt
Filed under: uncultured bacterium
Lineage: Bacteria
Description: bacterial SSU rRNA
Rfam family: Bacterial small subunit ribosomal RNA
Source: RNAcentral
GAUGAACGCUAGCGGCAGGCUUAACACAUGCAAGUCGAGGGGCAUCACGGGUAGCAAUACCUGGUGGCGACCGGCGCAAGGGUGCGUAACGCGUGAGCAACAUGCCCUAUACAGGGGGAUAAUCCAGGGAAACUUGGUCUAAUAUCCCAUAGCAUUUAGAGGUGGCAUCACCAUUAAAUUAAAGCUUCGGUGGUAUAGGAUUGGCUCGCGUGACAUUAGCUAGAUGGUGGGGUAACGGCUCACCAUGGCUAUGAUGUCUAGGGGUUCUGAGAGGAAGACCCCCCACACUGGGACUGAGACACGGCCCAGACUCCUACGGGAGGCAGCAGUGAGGAAUAUUGGACAAUGGAUGGAAAUCUGAUCCAGCCAUGCCGCGUGCAGGAAGACGGCCCUAUGGGUUGUAAACUGCUUUUAUAUGGGAGCAAUAAGGUUUACGAGUAGACCGAUGAGAGUACCAUAUGAAUAAGCAUCGGCUAAC